Non-coding RNA from Podarcis lilfordi (Lilford's wall lizard), 80 nucleotides. Lineage: Eukaryota; Metazoa; Chordata; Lepidosauria; Squamata; Lacertidae. The record is from the annotation of a GenBank genome assembly.
UCACCCGGCAGAAAUAUAUAUAUAUAUAUAUAUAUAUAUAUAUAUAUAUAUAUAUAUAUCUGUCCCUUUGCCCAGUGAAU